AGUGAACGCUGGCGGUAUGCCUAACACAUGCAAGUCGAACGGCAGCACAGUAAGAUCUCUCCCUUACUGUUGGCGAGUGGCGGACGGGUGAGGAAUAGAUAGCAUUCUACUUUUUCGUGGGGGAUUACGUAGGGAAACUUACGCUAAUACCUCAUACUAUCUACGGGUUAAAGCAGGGGAUCUUCGGACCUUUCGCGAUUGAAUUAGCCGAUUUCGGAUUAGCUAGUUGGCGGGGUAAAGGCCCACCAAGGCGACGAUCCGUAGCUGGUCUGAGAGGAUGAUCAGCCACACUGGAACUGAGACACGGUCCAGACUCCUACGGGAGGCAGCAGUAGGGAAUCUUGGACAAAGGGCGCAAGCCUGAUCCAGCAAUACCGCGUGAGUGAAGAAGGCCUUCGGAUCGUAAAGCUCUUUUGUUGGGAAAGAAAAGAAGCGGAUUAAUCUGCCGCUGUUCUGACGGUACCCAAACAAUAAGCACCGGCUAACUUCGUG
This 492-nucleotide ribosomal RNA is filed under the name uncultured bacterium. Its description in RNAcentral is "partial 16S ribosomal RNA". It matches the Rfam family "Bacterial small subunit ribosomal RNA", at positions 29 to 507 of the family's 1533-position model. The record is from RNAcentral.